AACGACGACGACGAUGACGAUGAUAACGACGCGUGCACGUCGUUGAGCGAGGAGCGCCGCCGGAGCGCGCGGGGAGACGACAGCACGGGGGGUGGAUAAUAGGAAUUUACUGAAAAUCCAAGAUCAAAGCCAUUCAAAACGCUGGAGAAAGACGGAGGAGCUUCGGAGGAGGGGGAGAUGUCUGCUGGCACCCAGGGCGAGAUUCGGGUUGGCCCUUCUCAUCAGGAGUUGGUUUCUUGUCAGGCCCGUUUGCCUGAGUAUCGGCCGGGUAUACCCCCCGGAGAGCUGCCACCCGAUCCAGAAUUCUCUAAGGAGCGCGAGGAACUAAAAUGGGUACCGGCCAUGGCGCUCGACGGGGAUCUGCUCAUGUACUUGAGGGCGGCGCGUUCGAUGGCCGCGUUCGCCGGCAUGUGUGACGGCGGUUCCCCGGAUGAUGGUUGCGUGGCCGCCUCCCGAGACGACACUACCAUCAACGCGCUGGACAUCCUUCACAAUUCUGGCUAUGAUCCCGGUAGGGCGCUCCAGGCACUCGUCAAAUGUCCCAUACCGAAAAGCGUCGACAAGAAGUGGUCCGAGGACGAAACUAAGCGAUUCGUCAAGGGCCUGCGGCAGUUUGGAAAGAAUUUCGCGCGUAUUAGGAAGGACCUUCUGCCUCACAAAGACACGCCGGAGCUUGUCGAGUUCUAUUACUUAUGGAAAAAGACCCCAGGCGCAAAUAACAAUCGGCCGCACCGGCGACGCAGGCAGAGCUCACUACGGCGUAUCCGCAAUACGCGCAACUCACGUGCCGGCACUCCGAAGGAAGACGUGCCAACGCCGACUAAGGACGCGCAGCCGACGGCCAACAUUAGCGCGAAGGAGGCCGCAUCCGAGGCCGAGACCGUGCCGGUCGGUACCCCGGCCAGCCAUAAUCCCGGCGGCGAGAUCAGUUCCGUGACCGAGGACGACAAUUCGGAAGAGGACAGUGACUCGCGCGACACCAACACGAACGGCGCCGCGCACUCGUGCCAGCACUGCUUCUCUACCAGCUCGAAGGACUAUCAGGUUGCCGGUAAGGAUCGAUUGUUACUUUGCGCGGAAUGUCGAUCGCAUUUGAAGAAGACCGGCGAGCUGCCACCCGCGCCGCCUUAUCUAUUCCGCCCGGUGCCGGCGGAAUCGCCUGAAAGCCCCGGUAGAAUGCGCACGCGGAACAAAGCUAAGGAGACACCGAGGCCAGCGAGACCGCGACGAACCGGUGGCACCGAUACGCCUGAUCAGGAGAAGCAGCAGCAGCAACAGACGCCCGACAAGAGCAAAAAGAAGUCGUCCGGCAAAGCUGAUACGCCCAAGAAGGGCCAGAAGCGCUCCGGUCAGGUGGACGACGCCUGCAACGACGAAGACAAAGAUUUGCAGAAGCGAAAACGCGGCGGCGGCGAACGGCCCGAAAGUCCGUCCGAAUCUCUCACUACCGAUAGCAACUCCCUGAUGGAUGAGCCGGAGAGGGAAACGGAGGGCGACGCAAACGAGAAUCAACCGACGCCGCCGACUGUUGCCGGUGUGGCCGGCGUGGAGGAGCCCGUGAGUAGUCCGGCUGUCACGACGCCCGAGGAGCCAUCCGAGCCGACGCCAGCGUCUACACCAGUGCCGGCUGUGUUACAGAGCCUGCCGAUAUCCGUGCCAGUGAUACACAGCUUGGAGAAGAAACCGCCCGGUCUGUUGGAUCAGGAAUCAGUGGAAAGUAAGAUGAUGGACCAGGUGGAGGAUGUGCCGUUAGCGAUGAAUCAAUCGUUGGAACCGAUGCCGAUCGAGGCGACGAUGUCGCCAACGAUGUCCAACGAGGAAUUGGGCAAGGAACCCGAGCCGACGCAGUUGAAUCUGAGCACGUCCACGCAGCAGGUUGGAGGAGGUCCAGGAGCGGAUGCCGGUUCCGCAGUUACGGCACGUAACUUAUCGCAAACUAUACCUGGUAUUAUAACGAGCGUAGGCUCACAGGCGAAUAUGCCAAACUCGCAAAUCCCAGUGAUAUCACCCAGUCAACAGAGUGGCGCCGGCGUUGGUGGUUUGCCGACGAGUCUAAGUAUGCAAUACGUACCGCAAGCACCACCGCCGUCGUUACAGCCGGUGCAGAACGUGCCGCAGAAUCUGUCGCAGAACAUACCGCCGCAGAUGACGCCGAACAACGUUCCACCCAGCGCGCAGAAUAUGGGACCAACGAAUCUUCGCACUCACGUGACCGAAAGUUUGCAGAGCUCCGCGCAAACGUUGCCUCAAAACAUGACGGGACCACCGCCGUUGAACCUCAACAUCUCGCAAAGCGUAUCCGCCGGUAUUGGUGGCCCGAUCGGUCAGAUGCCACCGAUGCCGAGCCCGCCGUCGCAGCCGCUCGGGCUGACUGUGAUGUCGUCCGAAAGCAGAAACGCCGAAAGGAUAGCGGAUGAGAGACUGUCUGCGAGCGAGCGGUCUCGAGACAGCAGAAUUCCCACAGACUCUCGUAUGAUGCCAGAACGCAUUCCGGAGCGGACAAACGAGAAUAACGAGCCGGAACGAUCGGAGCCGAGUAACCUGUUUCAACCGAUACAGGCCGGCGGAAUGCUGCCGAUGGAGAAGCCCGUCGGUCUCUAUAAUCUGGCCGGGACGCCGCCGAUGGAACCGCAGAACUUGAAGAUCAAGCAGGAGAUUAUACCGCCGGAACCGGAUCCUCUGCAGAGUUUGAAAGAGGUCAAGGUACCGGGUUUCCAGAGCUCUUCUUUCCCCGGCCCGAGCCUGGACAACAUCAAGAAGGAUCCGGACGGCACGAGCAAACCGCCGACUCCGAGCAAGCACUCCGUGCCGCCCGCUCAGACGGUACCAUCGAUACAACCGGUUGCGGCGUCGCCGACACCUACGCCGACACCGACGCCGAGUCUGCCUCCACCUCCCAGCUCAAUCCCACAGCCAGUCAUGCAUCCCGCGCAACAACCAAGUCCGCACAUGGCACAUCCCUUCCAUCCGCACCAUCCGUUGAUGCAUCACUCACUGUUCACCGCUAUGCACCCGUAUCAUCCUCAUGCCUAUCCAGGAUACGCGCCAGUGGGAGGAUAUCCCUCCUUCUCGCCGUAUCCCUAUGGCCCAGUGCCUCAUGCCAUUCCGCCGCCCUCGCCGCAGCGUAGUCAAGAGAGCAGUAGCACCAUGAUGACGGCGCAUCACGCCAGCACUAGCUCGAGCGUCACGAGCAGAGAGGAAGGCGAGAAUCUAAUCGCGAGCCACCAUCAUUCAUCCAGUAUGCAUCAGCAGCCAACCAAUUUACACCAUGACAAACUGCUGACUAUCUCCUCUCAUAGCUCCCACAGUCAUUCCUCGUCGCACAGUUCGCACAGUAGUCAGCGUAAAACGUCGCUCGUCUCCACGUGCCUGACAUCGUCCAGUUCCGCACACCAUCAUCAUCGUCCGCCACAGUCGCAGCAACCGCAGACCGUGCCGGAGCCAAAGAUCGAACAGGAUUUAGACCCGGAACCGGAGGAGUCCAUUAGUCCUCGCGGACCAUCACCAGAGCCUCGUAUCGAGGAUUCAGAAUGUCAUCGAUCGCAAUCGGCGAUCUUCCUUAGGCAUUGGAAUCGUGGUGAGAACAAUUCGUGUACGCGCACCGACUUGAUGUUCAAACCGGUGCCCGAUUCGAAGCUGGCGCGGAAACGCGAGGAACGCUCGCGCAAACAGGCGGAACGGGAGCGGGAGGAGCGCGACCGCGCCGCCGCCGCGGCGCAACAAGCCCGGAAGAUGACGACGCCCGAGAAACAGCCAGAAACGUGCAAACCGCCCAGUCGCGGUCCUCUCGAGCCUGUCGUUUCGCCUUACGACCGUUACGCAGCACCGCGUCCCGGUUCUUACGCGGACACCCCAGCACUCAGGCAACUGUCGGAGUACGCCAGACCACACGCCGCCUUCUCGCCCGCCAGACAUCCGGCCCCGACAGAUCCGAUGUUGCACUACAUCUACGGACGUGAGGCCGCGGCGGCACAACGGCUGGAGUUGGAGCAUUUGGAGCGCGAGAAGCGGGAACGCGAGAUACGCGAAUUACGCGAAAGAGAGUUGAAUGAUCGGUUAAAGGAAGAGCUGUUCAAGGGCACACCCAGACCGAUGCCGGCGCCGCCGGUCGAUCCGCACUGGCUGGAGAUACACCGUCGAUACGCCGCCGCCGGUCUGGCACCGGGUCCUUCAGGACCGCCUCAAGCCUUACACCAAUUCGGCCUCUACGGGGCUCCACCGGGUCCCAGUCAACUCGAGAGGGAACGACUCGAGCGACUAGGGAUUCCGACUGCAGCCGGCGGGGGGCCAGCGGGUGGAGCGGCUGGCCAUCCCGUGGCGGCUCAUCACCACGGCCAGCUGGAAGAACGGCUGGCUCUGGCCGCUGACCCGAUGGUCCGAUUGCAAAUGGCUGGCAUCUCGCCCGAAUAUCAUGCUCACACUCACGCGCAUACGCAUGCGCAUACGCACUUGCACUUACAUCCGGGACAGCAACAGGCCCAGCAACAGGCUCAGCAACAGCAGGAAGCCGCUGCGGCUGCGGCUGGAUUUCCUCUGCCGGCUGCAGCCAGCGCCAAUUACCCUCGUCCGGGUUUAAUGCCGCGCGAUCCCGCCUUGGCGCUUCACCCAGCGGAACUUCUAGGAAGACCCUAUGCGGACAUGGCGGCGCAUCACGAGCAAUUGCAACGGCACCUCAUGAUGGAACGCGAACGAUUCCCUCCGCACGCAUCCCUCGUGGCCCAUCACGAGGAAUACUUAAGUUUUGCAGAUGGAAUUAAUUUCCCUUUCCCUUUGCUCGAUCUCUACGUCAAGUAUCCAUCCAUGUUUUUAUGAAGCUUAAUGUGAAACGCAGCCGCCAUCCACUUUACACGGAAUGCAACACUCGAAUCGCGUGGAUGUAUAUGUAUGGGAGGCAGGGACGAUGUUGAGUGCGUAUUGUGUGGAUUCUAGCGCUCCUAUUACAAUCGUACUGCGAUAGAAAAAGACCGGGAAGGAAGGAGAAGAGAAAGAGAAAAGGCGGAAAAAGGAAGCAAGAAAGAAAGGAAUAGAGAAAGAUCUUUAUCCAUCGCACACAUGUGCGGCUCAUAUGCGUGUCGGCUGAAAGA
Molecule: unclassified non-coding RNA, 5084 nt
Filed under: Monomorium pharaonis (pharaoh ant)
Lineage: Eukaryota; Metazoa; Arthropoda; Insecta; Hymenoptera; Formicidae
Description: arginine-glutamic acid dipeptide repeats protein, transcript variant X2
Source: RNAcentral